Molecule: long non-coding RNA, 384 nt
Organism: Alexandromys fortis (reed vole)
Lineage: Eukaryota; Metazoa; Chordata; Mammalia; Rodentia; Cricetidae
Exons: 3
Source: RefSeq, a predicted model, not a curated record
CUUUUGGAGCACAUAGAGAUGGUGCGCCUUGGAUUCUUGAGUGCUGAAAUACAUGUGGGGCUGAAGUAUAUGGGGAGCAGUAGUGGGCAAGCCAUGGUCUUAGGGAUUUACAAUUAAGAGAUUGCCUUGAGUAUCAGAAGAGACGUUGGGCCUUUCCUUUGCUGUGACAAAAGCAUCACAAUCAAGGCAGCUUACAGGAGAAAGAAAAUUAUUCAAGGGAAGAGGUUACCUUACUGAUCAUCAACUGAUACAGAAGAGUACUUAAUGAACAUGUCGGCAAGGAGGGCUGACUGAGAAGCCAAGGACAAUGGCACUGGGUUUUGAUCCUAUUGCAUGUACUGGCUUUGUAGCAGCCUAGACUGUUUGGAUGCUCACCUUCCUAGA